AAUGAACGUUGGCGGCGUGGAUUAGGCAUGCAAGUCGAGCGAGAAGUCCUUCGGGACGGACAGCGGCGAAAGGGAGAGGAAUACGUAGAAAUCUACCCCUGGGACCGGGAUAGCGUCGGGAAACUGGCAGUAAUACCGGAUAACGUCUUAGGACCAAAGGUGUGAUUCCACCUGGGGAUGAGUCUACGCCCUAUUAGCUAGUUGGUGGGGUAAUGGCCUACCAAGGCGAUGAUGGGUAGCGGGUGUGAGAGCAUGAUCCGCCUCACUGGGACUGAGAACUGCCCAGACACCUACGGGUGGCUGCAGUCGAGAAUCUUUGUCAAUGGACGAAAGUCUGAACAAGCGACGCCGCGUGCGGGAUGAAGGCCUUCGGGUUGUAAACCGCUGUCGUAGGGGAACAAAUGUACGGGGGUUCUCCCCUGUAUUUGAGUGAUCCUAGGAGGAAGGAGAGGCUAAGCUCGUGCCAGCCGCCGCGGUAA
Molecule: ribosomal RNA, 479 nt
Filed under: uncultured bacterium
Lineage: Bacteria
Description: partial 16S ribosomal RNA
Rfam family: Bacterial small subunit ribosomal RNA
Source: RNAcentral